RNAcentral lists this ribosomal RNA (367 nucleotides) under uncultured bacterium. RNAcentral describes it as "bacterial SSU rRNA". It matches the Rfam family "Bacterial small subunit ribosomal RNA", at positions 521 to 886 of the family's 1533-position model. The record is from RNAcentral.
UAAUACAGAGGUCCCAAGCGUUGUUCGGAUUCACUGGGCGUAAAGGGUGCGUAGGUGGUAGGGUAAGUCUGAUGUGAAAUCUCCGAGCUUAACUCGGAAAUGGCAUUGGAUACUAUUCUGCUGGAGGGUUGGAGGGGAGACUGGAAUUCUCGGUGUAGCAGUGAAAUGCGUAGAUAUCGAGAGGAACACCAGUGGCGAAAGCGAGUCUCUGGACAACUCCUGACACUGAGGCACGAAAGCUAGGGGAGCAAACAGGAUUAGAUACCCUGGUAGUCCUAGCCGUAAACGGUGCGCAUUUGCUGUGAGCGGAAUCGACCCCGUUCGUGGCGAAGCUAACGCGUUAAAUGCGCCGCCUGGGGAGUACGGU